This 463-nucleotide ribosomal RNA is filed under the name uncultured bacterium. RNAcentral describes it as "bacterial SSU rRNA". It matches the Rfam family "Bacterial small subunit ribosomal RNA", at positions 1 to 464 of the family's 1533-position model. The record is from RNAcentral.
CCCUUAGAGUUUGAUCCUGGCUCAGAUUGAACGCUGGCGGCAGGCCUAACACAUGCAAGUCGAGCGGUAGCACAGAGAGCUUGCUCUCGGGUGACGAGCGGCGGACGGGUGAGUAAUGUCUGGGAAACUGCCUGAUGGAGGGGGAUAACUACUGGAAACGGUAGCUAAUACCGCAUAAUGUCGCAAGACCAAAGUGGGGGACCUUCGGGCCUCAUGCCAUCAGAUGUGCCCAGAUGGGAUUAGCUAGUAGGUGGGGUAACGGCUCACCUAGGCGACGAUCCCUAGCUGGUCUGAGAGGAUGACCAGCCACACUGGAACUGAGACACGGUCCAGACUCCUACGGGAGGCAGCAGUGGGGAAUAUUGCACAAUGGGCGCAAGCCUGAUGCAGCCAUGCCGCGUGUGUGAAGAAGGCCUUCGGGUUGUAAAGCACUUUCAGCGGGGAGGAAGGCGUUAAGGUUAAU